Molecule: long non-coding RNA, 1096 nt
Organism: Nasonia vitripennis (jewel wasp)
Lineage: Eukaryota; Metazoa; Arthropoda; Insecta; Hymenoptera; Pteromalidae
Exons: 2
Source: RefSeq, a predicted model, not a curated record
UUCAGAACUGGGAAUACGAGCAAAGCCAGGAAUAUCGGUACCGUCUUGUACAAAUCCCAAGCUGGUCCCAAGUUGUCGUACGAUUUAUCGUAAUUCGCCGUUCCAUUCAGCUCGUAUUUAGGACAGAGCACUUGAAAAGGUGUCGGGCAAGACAGGAAUGCCCGCAAUUAUGUCUGGAAAAGAAAAAGGAGAAAAUUAAAAUCAGACAUCUUUGAUUUGUGCGAAGAUAGAUACAUUUAUCCAUCUGUCUUACCGUAGAGAAAAUUCACGGAGUUGUAGAAAAAAUUGGACAUCAGAAUCCAGUAGGCUAUAUUAGCACCCAUGAGGACGCUGAUACUGAAGAUCUUUGCCAUGUGCUCGGCCCAGGAGCCCAGAAAAGCUCGACUGAGCUCCAUCACCUCGAUCCUCUCGCCGCCUCCUGAAAGGAAUUGAAAAAAUAUGUUUUACCGCCGAAGACCUCCUCAUACAAGUGGUUGUAACAGUUCGAUAUUGACGUGACGUCAUCGGCGUCCUACAAUGCAACCCCCCGCGCUGCACAUGUGCAGACCGAAGAUUACAAAAUUUUUCGCUCGAUGCUCCACUUCAUCUCUAAUCGAGCGAGAGCGGCUAAUAGCCGUAUUUUCGUGAAUCAGAGUUCGGUCUCUCGCUGUUUAUCUAAGUGGGUUAAAACUAGCAGUGCAUCAUGUAGGACGACGCCUUAGAUGUAACGCGUGAUUUUACAAUAAUGCUAACCAUGGUACUUGUGGACCUGCAGCAGCUUGUAGGCGGUGAAGAGGCACAGACCACUCAUGGCGAGUAUCAGGAUGAUCGCCGGGACGAAACCGGCCAUGUAGAUGCCCCAGGGCAUCGUCAGCAUCGAUGAGCCCAGGAUUGUGUUCCAGACGGAAAAUCUGGAAUUCCAAACAGAGAAAUGGCUCAACAUUGCGCGAUAGAAGAAGCUUCUUACUGUCGUACACGCACAUCGGUAAUUACACAAUAGAGUGUAUAUCACAACUGUAUUAUAUAUGUAUCUCGUAGACGCUCAUGUUUGCGCGACGCGAAACCCAGCUUAUUAAAAAUAAAUUCUCGGAUCAACUGUCGCCGAGAAGAAACGUAA